This is a small nucleolar RNA of Hyaena hyaena (striped hyena), 102 nucleotides long. RefSeq annotates it as small nucleolar RNA U13. Lineage: Eukaryota; Metazoa; Chordata; Mammalia; Carnivora; Hyaenidae. The record is from RefSeq and is a predicted model, not a curated record. The transcript has a single exon.
AUCCAAAAAGAUUCUUUUUGAUGAUUGGGUAUUCCUGCCACUAUGUGACACGCGCCUCCCUCAAAUCCUGCUAUGGCCUCGGCACGUUACCCACACGUGAAA